GCAGGGGUGGGGGCUUUCCUCUUUUCAGAACAGUUCAUCUUCAAAGGCACCCUGGCCUCAGAACAGCCUGGGCCAUCCUCUGAGGACGCUGUAGUCACUGCCUGGUAUUUUCUGUCCCCAGAAGCCCCCGUCCGUGACGCUCCAUCUCGACGUCUGUUUCCUGGGAAGUCUAACCAACGGCAGCUGGUGCCAGAAGUGAGCUGAGGGUGCAGCUUCUAAAAUGGGAUUUUGGAGCCGAGUCCCCAUCAGCCAGCUGGUAGUGAAACUCCAUCCCCCAUGCUGCAGAAAGGAGUGACCCAAAGGUGCCCACCGACGCGUGGUGAUGGGUGGAACUGAGCUCAGGACUUUGGGUCGGCACUGGAAGAUGACACUCCUUAGUCACGCUGGAAAUCAAGCAGCACUAAAGAGUCAAGACAGAUGCAAGCCAUGAGUAUGUUAUUUCAGCUGUCAGAAUAAUGAAACCAAAGCCACGAAGUGCUAGUAAUUCAGGAUUACGGGGGACGAAGCGACUUAGCAGGGUGUCUGAAGAGGCAAUGUCGUGGGCUGGGCCCCAUCCAGCUGCAUUUGCAGAGACUUCAGCAUCUCGGAAGGCAGAGUGCCAGGCACGCUCUCGGGGAGUCCACAGCAGAGCUGCCCACGUUCCUCAUUGUUCUUUCCCCUCUCUUCAGGAAACAAGUUAGAUGGCCACGCACAGUGCCCAUGGUGGACUUGGUCUACACUAGAUUUAUGGAGGAGUAAUUUAUGUACAGAAAAAUAUUCCUUUCUGGUGUUCGGUUUGGUGCAAUUUGACACACAUCUGCAGCUGUGUAGCAAUCUCCACAUUACCCUAAAAUUCCCUCUUGGCCCAAGAUAAUCAAUGUCCCCGUCCCUCCCCAGCCUCCGAUAAGCACUGGGCUGUCUUCCGCUCCUGUGGUUUUUGCCCUUACCAGAAUGCCAUGUAAUCAUGUGUCCGGGAGGAAGCUGUGGUCAACGACAACCCUCAUCCAGGACAGUGCCCCCAUCCAUGCCACUGCCUGAUGACAUCCUCGCCGUCUGAGUUGGUGCAGAAGAAACGCUCUGUCGUUUACACAGCACCAGAAUCGGCUAACAAGCACUUCCCGGAAUGAAAGUGGCCCUGUUGUGAGGCAGCCCUGACUGCACAAACGGCUGCUGUGAUUUAGCAGAACAGUUUUGAGGUUCUGUCAUGGUGUUUCUGUACCAUUAGCUUUUUUCUUUCUAAUGGGACAGCAGUUCACUGUGUUGGUACACCAAAGUUUGUUUACCCAUUCAUCAGUGGAAGUUCACUGGGGCCAUUUCUAACUCAGCUUCUGUACCCAACUUCUGUGGCCAUUAGCAUACAGAUGUGGGUUUCCUUUUCUCUAAAUACCUUAGUGUGGGGACACGUGGUCGUGUGGGCGGUGGAGGGUUCUUUUAUAAGAAACCACAGGGCUGUCUUCUACAGUAGCUGCACCACCUGCAUUCCUUCCGGAAUAGCACACUCUUCAGGAGAAUCCCAGCUGAUCCACAUACACACCAGCUCCAAGAGUUGUUUUAAAAAAGUUUUAGCUAUUCUAAUCAGCAUGUGGUUAUGUCUCCUGUGGUUUAAUUUGCAUGUCUGUAAUGACAUCAAGCAUAAUUAUAUGUAUAUAUUUGCAAAAUAUGUCUCCUCUUUUGAGCAUCUGUGCACAUAGUAUUUUUGGUCAUUUUAAAAUGGGUUUGUUUCUUUUCUCACUGAGUUUGGGGGGCUUUUUACAGAUUUUGUGGAUCCUUUAUCAAAGGGCUACCAAAGGGGAAAUAUUUUCUCCUGAUCUGUGCCUUGCUGAAUAUAGUCUCACAAUUACUUUAAUUACAUAUUUUACAACCAGCAUUCUCCGCUUAUUACUUGAAAGGUUUGGGAGAACCUACAGUGAAUAAUCAGCCUCCUUCCCAGGAGUGCUGGCAACUCAGUUCCCCUUCCUGGAAGCAGUCACCAUUGCCAAGUGUUUAGGAGGGAGAGGGGGCGAGGACAUGCUCCAGGAAACACUACAUGCAAUACUAAAGUGUGUGUGUGUGUGUGUGUGUGUGUGUCCAUUCCUGCUUUGCCUCAGUACCUGACAGUCUGUCACACACUCCGUCAUGCACGUUGCUCUUUUCAUGGGACAGACGCGUGGCAGCGUUGUCACAUGCUUGCACGAGGAGCCACCUCGUCUUGUUGAUGGCUGCAUGGUAUUCU
Molecule: non-coding RNA, 2191 nt
Organism: Oryctolagus cuniculus (rabbit)
Lineage: Eukaryota; Metazoa; Chordata; Mammalia; Lagomorpha; Leporidae
Source: RefSeq, a predicted model, not a curated record